GGCACUUUCUCUUAUUGAAUGAAUACCAGUUUAUGGUAAUACAUAGGUUGGGCAGAAGAAAGCUUAGGAUAAAGUUCAUAUAAGUUGCAGAAACAUCACUAAACUGAAAAACACUAAGAGUUGGUACAAAAGUUACGACGCUAUACAGAAUCUAGCAGCUUUUCUAAGACAUGUACUGUCUAGAUGUCCAUCCGGUGUCAUGUCUACCAAGCGAGUAGGCUGACGGUGGCAUCUGAGAGAAGUGGAGGGGAUCUGGUUCAAUUCCAUAAUCAGUAAGUGGCCUGUGCUCUAAAAUUUCAUCAUGCUUUUGAACAAAUUCAGGAAUCUCAAGCUCUCCUUUCUUUAUGUCGUCCCAAAGGUAUUGCAGUCGACUAACAUACUUUACUUUCCAAUACAAACCUCCACUCAGGAAAAAUCUGCCUAGCGUUGCAAGAACAAGCCUUGACCGGAGCCCAGGAUGAACAAAGUAUACAGCCUGAAGCCUGUCCUUAUGGUCAGGAGGUAGCUCUUCGUAGAUCCACCGCAAGAUGGUCAAUCCAGGAUUGUUAUCCUCCUUUUGGACAGUACUAUGCAUGUAGACAAUACAGAAUGGCCCCUCAGGCAGCUCCGUGCAAACUUUGUUAAAGACAUACUUUUUCAGCCGCUCCGCACUUAUAACUAGAGCCGGAAAGUAUUUUCCAACAAUACGAAAGAUCCGAUUACCCAAUUUGUCAGAUCCAGAUUCAAGGCGUAAGAACUGUAGUGAAUCAAGAUGAGCAAAAUCUUGUUCCUCGGAAAUAAGAGGGUCAAAAGUGCAAUGUAAUUAAAAUUAAUGGAAUCUCGACUAAUCAACCAAAAAAUGUAACUAAAAUAUAUGCAAUCUCGACUAAAAAUGCAGGGGCAAAUGUGAGGUCUACAAUUACCAUGAUCAGAUUUUGAACUAACGAAGAAACUACUUACCCUCCACUCAAAAAAAUCUGCCUAGAGUUCCAAGAACAAGCCUUGACAGGAGCCCAGGAUACACAAAGUAUACAGCCUGAAGCUUGUCCUUACAGUCAGAAGAGAGCUCUUCAUAGAUCCACCUCAAGAUGGUCAAUCCAGGAUUGUUAUCCUCCUUUUGGACAGUACUAUGCAUGUAGACAAUACAGAAUGGCCCCUCAGGCAGCUCCGUGCAAACUUUGUUAAAGACAUACUUUUUCAGCCGCUCCGCACUUAUAACUAGAGCCGGAAAGUAUUUUCCAACAAUACGAAAGAUCCGAUUACCCAAUUUGUCAGAUCCAGAUUCAAGGCGUAAGAACUGUAGUGAAUCAAGAUGAGCAAAAUCUUGUUCCUC
Molecule: unclassified non-coding RNA, 1312 nt
Filed under: Hevea brasiliensis (rubber tree)
Lineage: Eukaryota; Viridiplantae; Streptophyta; Magnoliopsida; Malpighiales; Euphorbiaceae
Source: RNAcentral